This 912-nucleotide ribosomal RNA is filed under the name Aphanoascella galapagosensis. Its description in RNAcentral is "LSU rRNA". It matches the Rfam family "Eukaryotic large subunit ribosomal RNA", at positions 38 to 966 of the family's 3401-position model. Lineage: Eukaryota; Fungi; Ascomycota; Eurotiomycetes; Onygenales; Onygenaceae. The record is from RNAcentral.
GCAUAUCAAUAAGCGGAGGAAAAGAAACCAACAGGGAUUGCCUCAGUAACGGCGAGUGAAGCGGCAAGAGCUCAAAUUUGAAAUCUGGCACCUUUGGUGCCCGAGUUGUAAUUUGGAGAGGAUACUUUGGGCGUGGUCACGGUGUAAGUUCCUUGGAACAGGGCGUCAUAGAGGGUGAGAAUCCCGUCUUGAACCGUCGGCCCACGCCCAUGUGAAGUUCCUUCAACGAGUCGAGUUGUUUGGGAAUGCAGCUCUAAGUGGGUGGUAAAUUUCAUCUAAAGCUAAAUAUUGGCUGGAGACCGAUAGCGAACAAGUAGAGUGAUCGAAAGGUUAAAAGCACCUUGAAAAGGGAGUUAAAUAGCACGUGAAAUUGUUGAAAGGGAAGCGCUUGCAAUCAGACUCGGUCGCGGGGGCUCAGCGGGCAUGCGUGCCUGUGUACUCCCCCGCGUUCGGGCCAGCAUCAGUUCGGGCGACCGGUCAAAGGCCCUUGGAAUGUAUCAUCCUCCGGGAUGCCUUAUAGCCAAGGGUGCAAUGCGGUCAGUCGGGACUGAGGAACGCGCUUCGGCACGGAUGCUGGCGUAAUGGUUGUAAGCGACCCGUCUUGAAACACGGACCAAGGAGUCUAACAUCCACGCGAGUGUUCGGGUGUCAAACCCGUGCGCGCAGUGAAAGCGAACGGAGGUGGGAGCCCUCUAGGGUGCACCAUCGACCGAUCCUGAAGUCUUCGGAUGGAUUUGAGUAAGAGCGUGGCUGUUGGGACCCGAAAGAUGGUGAACUAUGCCUGAAUAGGGUGAAGCCAGAGGAAACUCUGGUGGAGGCUCGCAGCGGUUCUGACGUGCAAAUCGAUCGUCAAAUUUGGGUAUAGGGGGCGAAAGACUAAUCGAACCAUCUGGUAGCUGGUUCCUGCCGAAG